AGUGAACGCUGGCGGUAGGCCUAACACAUGCAAGUCGAACGGCAGCACAGUAAGAGCUUGCUCUUACGGGUGGCGAGUGGCGGACGGGUGAGGAAUACAUCGGAAUCUACUUUUUCGUGGGGGAUAACGUGGGGAAACUUACGCUAAUACCGCAUACGACCUACGGGUGAAAGCAGGGGAUCUUCGGACCUUGCGCGAUUGAAUGAGCCGAUGUCGGAUUAGCUAGUUGGCGGGGUAAAGGCCCACCAAGGCGACGAUCCGUAGCUGGUCUGAGAGGAUGAUCAGCAACACUGGAACUGAGACACGGUCCAGACUCCUACGGGAGGCAGCAGUGGGGAAUAUUGGACAAUGGGCGCAAGCCUGAUCCAGCCAUACCGCGUGGGUGAAGAAGGCCUUCGGGUUGUAAAGCCCUUUUGUUGGGAAAGAAAAGCAGCAGGUUAAUACCCCGCUGUUCUGACGGUACCCAAAGAAUAAGCACCGGCUAACUUCGUG
This 492-nucleotide ribosomal RNA is filed under the name uncultured bacterium. RNAcentral's name for it is "partial 16S ribosomal RNA". It matches the Rfam family "Bacterial small subunit ribosomal RNA", at positions 29 to 507 of the family's 1533-position model. The record is from RNAcentral.